RNAcentral lists this long non-coding RNA (8167 nucleotides) under Brassica napus (rape). RNAcentral describes it as "long non-coding RNA (BNAP_LNC002486)". The stretch from base 5152 to 5277 matches the Rfam family "MIR9563 microRNA precursor family". Lineage: Eukaryota; Viridiplantae; Streptophyta; Magnoliopsida; Brassicales; Brassicaceae. The record is from RNAcentral.
GAGACAUGGGACGGAACGUUAUAGAUGGAAGUGGUGUAGAGAAAACGUUACAUGAUGUUGGAAUGGGUGAGAACAAGAGAGGGAGUCACAGCAAAGUUUCCGUCUCAACAGUUGCAUUGUUCACCUUGGCGAUGGCUGCUGCUACUGGUUUGGGUGCAGUGCCUUUCUUCUUUGUUGAGCUUGAUCCUCAAUGGGCUGGGAUAUGCAACGGCAUGGCGGCUGGUGUGAUGUUGGCUGCUAGCUUUGAUCUUGUGAAGGAGGGUCAAGAGCAUGGUUCUGGAAACUGGGUUGUUACUGGGAUUCUAGCCGGUGCUUUGUUCAUUUGGCUCUGCAAGCAGGUAACUUGAAAACUGAUUCUUUGCCUGUCCAACAACAUAUUGGAAACUUACUGUACCUUUUGGCAGUUCCUUGAGCAAUAUGGUGAGGUGAGCAUGCUGGAUAUUAAAGGUGCAGAUGCAGCGAAAGUUGUUCUCGUCAUAGGCAUCAUGACACUUCAUUCUUUCGGAGAAGGAUCAGGGGUUGGUGUGUCCUUUGCUGGUUCAAAAGGUUUUACUCAAGGGCUUCUGGUGACUUUAGCCAUAGCCGUUCAUAAUAUUCCAGAAGGGUUGGCUGUUAGCAUGGUGCUUGCAUCGAGAGGUGUCUCUCCACAAAACGCCAUGCUCUGGAGUAUAAUCACAUCCUUACCUCAGGUAAUAAUCCAUUGAUGUGUCUGUGAUCUUGUUUCUUUAUCUACAUAAGUGAUUACUGAUUCUUGUUUUAUUCUUUACCAGCCUAUUGUUGCAGUGCCAGCUUUCUUAUGUGCGGAUGCGUUUAGCAAGUUUUUGCCUUUCUGCACUGGGUUUGCGGCUGGGUGUAUGAUUUGGAUGGUUAUUGCUGAAGUGCUUCCUGAUGCAUUCAAGGUGAAUUGCAUGUUGUUGAUGUUCCCACAUAUGUAAUAUUAGUUUCGUCUCAGCGGUCACUGGAACAGGGGACCUCUGACACAAUGCCACGGUCCUUUCCAGUUGAGCUAGUGACCUCUGGUGAUGUUCCUAUCACAUGAAGAUGACUGACUUAAUUUCUCUUCUCUGUAACCACAACAGGAAGCGUCUCCGUCACAAGUUGCAUCUUCAGCCACAAUAUCAGUAGCAUCCAUGGAAGCUCUCAGCACACUUUUCGAGAAUUUCACGCAUGAUUACAAGUAAUACAAUGAAAUCCAAGCUUUUGCGUUUGAUGGUGUUCUUAAAUUUAACUAAGGCUUCAUUUUCUCCAAUCUACAGCUCAGAGGAUGCUUCUGGCUUCUUCGUUUCACUUCUCUUUGGUCUAGGCCCAUUGCUUGGGGGAGUGUUUCUGGUUGCAUCGGCACUCACCUUCCGUCUCCAGCACGCUCUUCUCAUGGGAGUAGCCUCAGGAAUCGCAUUUGUACUCGGUCUCUGGCGUCCGCUUCAACUGCUGCUCUCUGCCAAAAUGGGAUUCAUCCCUCUUGUUAGUCUACUCGCUCUUGGAGCCGUGCUAAGCCAUUUCAUAAGCUCAACCAUCCUGAAUGCUACUUCUCGGAAGAAGUCUCGAGCUGGUAGUCUAAUAACCCCAGUAACAAAUUUUCCAACCAGUGCCAUAACACUCCAGUCACUAUUAGCGUGUGGAGCGGUUGGUUUCCACGCGCUAGCCGAGGGGCUUGCUCUUGGAGUCGCUGCUCCAAGUGCUUACGGUCUCGGCAGACACAUGGUGCUCCCUGUUUCCUUACACGGGCUCCCAAGAGGGACAGCGGUUGCGAGCUGUGUCUUUGGAGCUACGGACAGUUGGCACGCAGCUCUUGCAGCAGCAGCUUUGAUCGGUUUUGUGGGACCAGUAUCUGCCAUAGGAUCAAUUCUAGCCGGGAUAGAUUACAGUGGACUGGAUCACGUGAUGAUGGUUGCGUGCGGUGCGUUGCUGCCCAGCUUCUGGCAGGUGAUUCAGAGAGCGGUGAGGCUGGAGAGAAAGAAAGGCAUUGUGGGGAUGGUGCUGGGAGUAGCGUGUGCGGUUGUGUGUCUGACUUUCACUAGACUUGUCUGCUUGCACACUCCUUACUGCAAUUCUGCACCAGAGGCCGUUAGAUGAUUUGAUUCAUUGUGAACACANNNNNNNNNNNNNNNNNNNNNNNNNNNNNNNNNNNNNNNNNNNNNNNNNNNNNNNNNNNNNNNNNNNNNNNNNNNNNNNNNNNNNNNNNNNNNNNNNNNNNNNNNNNNNNNNNNNNNNNNNNNNNNNNNNNNNNNNNNNNNNNNNNNNNNNNNNNNNNNNNNNNNNNNNNNNNNNNNNNNNNNNNNNNNNNNNNNNNNNNNNNNNNNNNNNNNNNNNNNNNNNNNNNNNNNNNNNNNNNNNNNNNNNNNNNNNNNNNNNNNNNNNNNNNNNNNNNNNNNNNNNNNNNNNNNNNNNNNNNNNNNNNNNNNNNNNNNNNNNNNNNNNNNNNNNNNNNNNNNNNNNNNNNNNNNNNNUGUAAUAAAGAAAGAACAUUAUUUUUUUGUAACUUCAAAAAGAUACAUUAUUACAAUUUGAAAUGAAUCAAAAUUGAAUAAAAUGGUAAUUAAAUAUUUGUAAAUCUAAUUGUUUAGUUGGAUUCUCAUGAAAAAAAAAAAUCGAUUGGUUAAACAAAUGUUUCAAAAUUUGUUGUGGUAUUGUUUUGUCUAUAAAUUAUAAAAUUUAUUGAAUUAAUAUAUUUAAUUAUUGCAUCCUUAAAUAAUAUUUUAUUAAGACAUUAGAAAAAUAUGUUUUGAGUUGUUUUGUCAAAUUGUACAAAAAUCUAUGCUUUUUCAUAUUUGUAACUUCAAAAAGAUACAUUAUGAUAAUUUGAAAUUAAUCAAAAUUGAAUAAAAUGGUAAUUAAAUAUUUGUAAAUCUAAUUAUUUUUUUAUCUUGUUUAGUUGGAUUCUCAUGAAAAAAAAUCGAUAGGUUAAACAAAUGUUUCAAAAUUUGUUGUGUUAUUGUUUUGUCUAUAAAUUACAAAAUUUAUUGAAUUAAUAUAUUUAAUUAUUGCACCCUUAAAUAAUAUUUUAUUAAGACAUUAAAGAAGUAUGUUAUGAGUUGUUUUGUCAAAAUUUUACAAAAAUCUAUGCUUUUUCAUAUUUGUCACGAAAAUUUAUAUGUUAAACUUACUUUUACAAAAUUCUUAACUUUGUCACGAAAACAAAAAUCUAUGUUUUUUCAUAUUUGUCAACGUUCUCACACUUUCUAAGAAUAUAUUAGCUUAGUCACUUACUUAUUUUUUUUUUACAAAACAAAGUAUCGGAGUUUUGAAAGUUGAAUUCAUAUUAUUGUAAAUGUACAUAAGAGUUUGUGAUUAUAUACUUAGUGGUUCUUGUAUAUGUGUCCAAGAAAGUUUCAAUGGCUUAGUGGUAAAUGUCCUAUAUAUAUAUCAUACUAACCCGGGUUCGAUUCUCACCUUUGCAUUGUUUUUUUAUUUUUUACAAAAAAUAAAUGAGAUGACAUGGCAAUUUUGGAUUCUCUGAUUGGUUGAUUUUUCUAUCCUAUGUGGACACCCUCUCCAUGGCUUAUAUCCCCCUUUUAGUAUAGUAUAGAUUUUGACAUUUUUAAUGGUUUUGUGGUAAACCUCAACGGUUGACGAGAACGGCUCUUGGUAAUUAAGGAUGGAGUGGGGGGGGGGGAGACAUUGGAAGUCAAAAGCUAUUUAGUAAGGAUUUAAUUUUUUUUUUAACAAAUUUUGGGGUUUUUUCAUGUAAUUUUUUUUUAAAAAAGUUUAGGGCCUUAUGUCAAUGUUUCACUUUGCUAUGGCUCAAGACCACCUCUGACUGUAGAGCUAGUAAGUGGAACGCGCCGGAUCAGGUGGUUGAUGUGAAGCAAGCUUUAUUAUAUUUCGAUUUAGAUCAUUUUGGUUGAAACAGAAGUUGUAAUCAACAUUGAUGCCCUUUUGGGAUUUUAAAAUCAAUAUAUAUAACAUCUUUAUAUAAAAAAAAAUCAAUAUAUAUAUUUUAAAAACAUUUUUAAUGUGGAAAAAUAUGUUGUAGAAUAAGCUUGUGUGGACUCACUAACCUUGUGGAGUAGAAAAGACUCUCCAUCAACAACAACGGUGAUGUCUCCGGCAACAUCAGAGAAUAUACUGCAAGUUUCACAUAAUCAAAAUCAAACUGUUCGUUGAUAUGAGCAAAAUGAAUACAGUAGAGCUAAAGAGAGACGACAAGAAUUGGGAUGUAGAGAGAGGACGAACCAGGUGGAGAAGCUGGAAGGAGGGACAGAGGAGCGACUGUUACAUGAAGUAGAGCUUGUUGAGGAAGAAGAUUGAGACAAAGGUCUGUUUGAAAUACCAGCCAUCUUGAACCACGCUGUCUUGUUCUCCAGAUCGCGUGGAGACUCGUUGUAACGAAAACAAUACUGUCCUAGGGGUUUUAGAGAUAAGUCUCUCUUUCUCUAUGAUUUUUACUUUGUGUGCAGACACAGACGCUGUUGCAUUCUUGGUAAGUAAAGAAAGUAUUAGAGAACAAAGAUUCUCGAGUGAUGUGAAGGAGGAAAGCCUUUAUUUACAAAAAGACAUAAAGGGAAAUAGUUCUGAUCAUCUUUGAUUUUGAAACGUAAAUACUUUCCUUUAUAGGAUGUUAAACAAAAUAAAAACUUAAAAGCUAAUCAAGCCGAGAUUUUGUAAUUUUGAAAGUUCCCGAAACCGGUUCUGACCCAAAAACAAAUAUAUAUUGUUACCUUAAUUAUGUUUAAACUCUUUUUCUACCAAUGGUGUAUUGGGUUAAUGAUUUAGCGCAAGGAGUUAAAUCUAUCAGGUAUUAUCAGGUAUUAGUGUUGUCUGGUCCCGGCCUGGUCCGAACUCGUUCCUCCAAGUGAAGAAGAAAAACGUUUAUUUUCUUGUCUUUUUACUACCGACUUAAAUGUGACUCAAUGUACCUCCGUCUAAAGAAAGAAACAUGCAAUGAUGCAUAUUCUAUUUCUAUAUUAGAAUGAUUCACAAGGUACGUGAGAAAAGCUAAAGAGAGUGUGGCACGGAACUCCAUAAAGACUCCAUUAUUGUUCUGGUCUAUCUUGGAGACGUACACAUUCCCUUUACUGCAGCUCUCUCAAUUAUAUUGCACCAAACUUCAAAGUAGAGUAAUAUCACGUUUACUAAUUAAAACCAUACAUGAUACUAAAAGAAAACAUUAGAACAUGACUAAUGUAUGGUUCUUAGGAUAGAAUUCUUAGCGGAAUAUAAGAAACCGUUUCUUAAUUUUUAACUAAAAAAGCUAAGAACCGGCUCUUAAAUAUCAUAUUCAAGAGCCAAUUCUUAGUUUUUUUAAAUAAAAAAUUAAGAGACGGUUUUUUAUAUUCCGCUAGAACCCCACCUUAAGAACCCUCCAUUAAUCAUGCCUACCGUAAAAAAAACUCAUUGUUUUGGUGAUAUUUUUUCUCCAAAUAAUACACUAUCAACUUGUUGAAGCAAAAGACGUAUUACCUUUUUUUGGUUAACAGAUUGGAAUGAGAAUGAGAAAGCAAUUCGUUGUCAGACCAAAACCACCAAAGAAGAGCAAACAUAUACCAAAGGACAUAGCUUAAAGAAUCUACUUUUGGGACAGACAUAAGUUCUCAAUCACUUAAUGCAUGCAUCACUGUGUGUUGUUUUUCUUUUGGUGCGUUCUUGUUGUAGUUUCUCAUGAUUUUUCAUUUAUAUGCAUGUCCAUUAGCCAAAUUAAAGUUGAUUAGGUGUAGCGUUCUAUACCACAUAAUUGUUAUCCCUGGGUAUAAAAUGUAAAAUAUUAUACAAGAGAGUAAGAGUGAAGUUACUCGUUUAUUCACUUGUCUAUUGGGUGGCUCAUAUCGAUGAUAUAGUGCUCGCUAAUUCGCUAUAGCUUCAAAUUGAUAUUUUAUUGAUCACUUUUCCAAUAUGGGGUUAUAUAUAUUAUUUGAUUGUUGCUACGUUAUAUGAAAGUUGUCGAUGCAUCUAUAGAUCUUGUGCGUUUGAUUGAGCACAAUGGAUUUUCAGUAACAACAAAUGUAAGGGCAACAUUAUCGGUAGUCUCUAGUAAAGUAUCUAGAAAAAAACCAUAGGCACUAUCCUAGCAUAGUAGCAUGUGUUACUAAAUGACUAGUUCAAUGUUUUUGUCUGAUUUAAAAUUUAAUUAAUAAUAAAACUGUAUCACUUUCAAACGCGGUCGAAACAAUAAAAAAUUUAUUUAGUACCCUAAACUAAUUUAGCAAAUACAUAAAUAAUGGAAAUUUGUAAUGUAAAAUUUUGAAAUAUGGUCUAUGUGCCCUAAACAUCUGAUUAUUCUGGUGAGGUUUUCACCGAUGGCCAUGCUCUAAGGGGAUUGGUUCGUGUCAUGGUUUUAAACCAUCUUUGGGACAAAGGGUUAUUCUUUAAAUCGAAAUAUUGAUUCCAAACUUGGAGGAGAUUACGGAGAGAAAAAAUGUCCAGGAGAUUUCAAUGUAUGAUUUUGUGAUUUCUGUAUCUUUAUUUAACUAUCAAGACAAAAAUGCCAUGAAUCCAUUUGCGUCCUCGAAACAAAUCCAUAAUUACUUUUGUGGAAUUUUGUCCUAAAUCACUAUCAGCUUGUUGAAACAAAAAUGGAUUGAGAACUGAGCAAGGAAAUUCGCUGCAGACCAAAACCCGCAAAAGAAGAACAAACAAAUAGCAAAGCACAGAGUUUAAAUUAUCUACUUUUGGGAAAUAUAUAUCUCAAUCACAUAAUUCAUCAAUGUGAUUUGUUUUGGUACGUUCUUGUUGUAGUUUCUCAUGCAUAUUCAUCAGCCAAAUUUGAUGAUGUGUAAUGUAGUUUUUUUUCUUUUCCUGUCUGCAACAUACUAUGUUAAAGUGUAACAUUAAGAUGUCAAAGUAAAAUAUCAUACAAAAGUUAUAUAUAGUUAACUUACUUAUUUAUCAAGUAGCGUGGACAUGAUAAUUAGGUCAAUGAAGCAUGUAUACUGCUGUAUCCGAAAAAGAAAUACAUAACAGCAGACGUGAACUCACGAUUAGAAAGAAAUGCCAGUAUAUAUCCAGUGUAUCUCCUCCUAACACAGAAGCCUCAAACCCAACAUUCUUGACGUCAAUUUCAUUUUUUACAAGAAUUACCGACUCUUUUAUGAGAUUAGUAAACUUGAGGGAUUUACUUGCAAUUAUCUUAGUUAAAAAAAUUAAAUAUUUUUCUUUGAAAAUGUAUAAAUCUGUGGGCUAAUUCUUUUUUUUUUUUUUUGAAUGAAUAAUCUGUGGGCUAAUUCUUUGACUACUUGAAUGAAAUGAUUGAUCCCAAAAGUCUCCUAAGCUAGAAGGGAUCAAACGCCAGUCCAAAGCUUUUCAUCCAUCCUUACUUUACCACAACCCUUCUUCAUCGGCUAGAAUCUCGCUCAUGUUACAACGGAUCCAGCAUUUUCCAAAGCUCCGAUUUUUACCCUGUGCUGGUGAGUUCUGCGAUCUGGGUUCGUUUGGGUAGUCUAAAUUAUGUAGAUUGGUGGAUCGAAUCGCGAUUUUCUGCAAUUGGGUUCGCUAAUUGUGAUCUGGUUGACGAUUCUGGGUGAUAAAGGUUGCUGCUUUGUUGUUCUAGGUUUCUGGAUGAUGAUACUAUUCUGUUUCUCUGCUAAUUGGUUUAAUGGGUUUGUGUUGUUUCUAUUUGGUUUAAAUGAUUUCACCCAAAAGAGGUUAUUUUGAUCACAUAGGGAACAUAAUCAAUGCAGGUUUCUGUCUAUGGCAAGUGAUGAGUUUUAGUUUCUUUUCACAGUUUCAGUGAGUUGAAAAUUCGUUCUUGUGAUGUGUUAAAACAGGAAACAGUGACCUCCUCUUGAUGCAGUUUUGAUUCUACAAAGCCUCAGAGUUUAUUUGGUCUCCUUUUAGAUUUGUGAGCAGCAUCAAAAACGAUGCAUUCAGGCUGCACAAAACUCACGCUACUUCUAUUCUUAUUCGCCGCUGUGUUCAUUGGGAACACUGGCGCAGACCCUCAAUGGGAGAUCUCACAUAAAGUAAGAACUGCUCCUCAUGGAGACAUGGGACGGAACGUUAUAGAUGGAAGUGGUGUAGAGAAAACGUUACAUGAUGUUGGAAUGGGUGAGAACAAGAGAGGGAGUCACAGCAAAGUUUCCGUCUCAACAGUUGCAUUGUUCACCUUGGCGAUGGCUGCUGCUACUGGUUUGGGUGCAGUGCCUUUCUUCUUUGUUGAGCUUGAUCCUCAAUGGGCUGGGAUAUGCAACGGCAUGGCGGCUGGUGUGAUGUUGGCUGCUAGCUUUGAUCUUGU